CCUACGGGAGGCAGCAGUGAGGAAUAUUGGUCAAUGGACGAGAGUCUGAACCAGCCAAGUAGCGUGAAGGAUGACUGCCCUAUGGGUUGUAAACUUCUUUUAUAUGGGAAUAAAACGUUCCACGUGUGGGAUGUUGUAUGUACCAUAUGAAUAAGGAUCGGCUAACUCCGUGCCAGCAGCCGCGGUAAUACGGAGGAGCCGAGCUUUUUCCGGAUUUUUUGGGUUUAAAGGGAGCGUAGGUGGUUUGGUAAGUAAGUUGUGAAAGUUUGCGGCUCAACCGUAAAAUUGCAGUUGAAACUGGCAGUCUUGAGUACAGUAGAGGUGGGCGGAAUUCGUGGUGUAGCGGUGAAAUGCUUAGAUAUCACGAAGAACUCCGAUUGCGAAGGCAGCUCACUGGACUGUAACUGACACUGAGGCUCGAAAGUGUGGGUAUCAAACAGGAUUAGAUACCCCUGUAGUC
This 460-nucleotide ribosomal RNA is filed under the name uncultured bacterium. Its description in RNAcentral is "partial 16S ribosomal RNA". It matches the Rfam family "Bacterial small subunit ribosomal RNA", at positions 338 to 795 of the family's 1533-position model. The record is from RNAcentral.